Molecule: ribosomal RNA, 238 nt
Filed under: uncultured bacterium
Lineage: Bacteria
Description: partial 16S ribosomal RNA
Rfam family: Bacterial small subunit ribosomal RNA
Source: RNAcentral
UGAGCAACCUGCCUUUCAGAGGGGGAUAACAGUUGGAAACGACUGCUAAUACCGCAUAACGCUGCGAUGGGGCAUCCCGAUGCAGCCAAAGGAGCAAUCCGCUGGAAGAUGGGCUCGCGGCCGAUUAGCUAGUUGGUGGGGUAACGGCCCACCAAGGCGACGAUCGGUAGCCGGACUGAGAGGUUGAUCGGCCACAUUGGGACUGAGACACGGCCCAGACUCCUACGGAAGGCAGCAG